Micropterus dolomieu (smallmouth bass) is the source of this 1719-nucleotide long non-coding RNA. RefSeq lists it as uncharacterized. Lineage: Eukaryota; Metazoa; Chordata; Actinopteri; Centrarchiformes; Centrarchidae. The transcript is spliced from 3 exons. The record is from RefSeq and is a predicted model, not a curated record.
GUUUUGUAAAAGUUAACAAAUGAGAUGUAAGCUUCUGAGUCUGCAGCUCAGAGGUCAGUGUACCACCAGGAACAGGCGAGUCUGACAGCUCAUGAUGAAUGUUUGUUAUUGUCCAGGACUUUCCCUGUUAAAACCUGCCCUUCCUGCCACAACGAUAAACUCGGUAACUUGGCUACAGCUAUAGAAGCGAAGUUAGUCAACACGUCUUCCUGGCAAGAUAAAUAAGCAAGCAAAAGCUGACAAAGUCGACAAAAUGUUCAGCAGGUUUCUUCGGUGGUCAGAUCUUUCUGAACAGCUGCCUUUGCUGGCUUUGCAGUCUGAAAUGCGCAUGCGUAUUCGCAUAUUCUUGAAUAAGAGUAAUUUUAUGUGUCUGGUCGUCGAUGAAAUUGCGGUUAGUUGAAUAAUAGAUGUAUAGUUAAUUUUCUAGCAAGCUUAAAUAUCUUCAGACAUCAUACUUUAUUUGCUGGUCUCUAAGUGAUAAUGAUGAUGAUGAUGAUGAUAAUAAUAAAGAAAUUAGUUUCCACUUGCCUCUGCAAUCCUGAUGUCCUUGGGCAGAUUAUUGCAGAACCUCCAGAUAGCAGCUGACUCUGGGCCGAAUCCGCCUCCAAACCGGCAGAUCCGUGUAACAGUCACGCACGUUUUACGGCCCGCAUGUAGUCUGUGUGCACUCAGGAUCGGGCGUGAGCCUCCAUCAGUCGGCGGAAUCAUAAUAGUUCUGGCCCGGACUCGUCGGAACGAGCGCGCGAACUGUUUGUCUUUCUUUGGAUCAGUUCGGACUGGAAGCUUUGGGGAAUGAGUUUAUAACGGUAAGUUGAACGAUGUUACAGUCAAACAGUUUAGUGUGAUUGUUUUUAAUAGUGGUGUAAUGCUUGUUAGCAUCAUUAACAUCAUCACACCGGAAUGUUUUGACCGGGUUUUAACUUCUUAAAAUGGCUAAAACUGUUGAAGAGGCAUUGGCUAACGCUAGCUUUUUAGCUGGGCUAGCUAAAUUAACUGAAUGAACGGAUAGCUAAGCUAGCUAGCAUUAAUAAACAACUUUGUGUGCAGCUAGCAUAAAACAUUAAUGCUGUUUAACGUUAGUUAACUUACAACGAUGUUGUAACGUUAAUUUCCAACAGCACCUGUCUCCUUUUUAGGUUCAAUCUUUUCUUCACCCCUGGCUGAGAGCUCGGGAUUAAUAGGAGGCUGUACAGAAGAACCAAGCUGCUAGCAGCACAUCGGACAACGAGAUUAACCAGCACGCCAUCCGCUGGUUCAACCUGGCCUCUGACCAUGGAGGUGGCCGCAAAGAACGUGCCAUGGCCAGAGAGGCAUUAACUGUGAAAUGAACACAUCGGCCAUCCCCCACUCUUCCACUACUGAUGAUUUGUUGGGUGUCAUGUGAGGGUUAUGGCAUUCACACUUCUCCACUUGCCUCAUCAAUGUUUCCUGUAAAGCCACCAAACAAUGUGUACGAACAUUUUACAGUUUUUUUCUGGGUUUCACAUGACUAGUUAGAGUUGGAUAUUGUAUUUUGGCUAUAAAAUCUUUGUUAUUUAUACCAUGGUCAUGGAAAAUGGUUAAAAUAUAAAUGGCUGGCAGUAAUCAUCUAUCAAGACAAACUUAUCGCUUGUCGCUAAUUAAAACAUUAUCUUGUGUGUUUAGGCUGUAGAAUCUCGUGUGUCUCCUGGCUUUAGCUUUAUAUGUAGAGUAUGGUAUCGUGUGUGUGUGUGUGUGUGU